RNAcentral lists this unclassified non-coding RNA (163 nucleotides) under uncultured Ascomycota. RNAcentral's name for it is "sequence contains ITS2". Lineage: Eukaryota; Fungi; Ascomycota. The record is from RNAcentral.
CACCAAUCACGCCUGGCGUGGUAUUGGGCGACGGGAUUGCUUCAGUGUGUCCCGCGCCCCAAAGACCUUACCGGCGGGACGGACCGAAUCUCAGCGUUGUGAAUCUUUACGAGUCGCUGGCGAGACGGGACGGCCGUGCCGUGAAACCCCCCAAUCUAUCACA